GAGUUCCUACGGGGGGCAGCAGUGAGGAAUAUUGGUCAAUGGACGGAAGUCUGAACCAGCCAUGCCGCGUGCAGGAAGACGGCUCUAUGAGUUGUAAACUGCUUUUGUACAAGGGUAAACCUGAAUACGUGUAUUCAGCUGAAAGUACUGUACGAAUAAGGAUCGGCUAACUCCGUGCCAGCAGCCGCGGUAAUACGGAGGAUCCAAGCGUUAUCCGGAUUUACUGGGUGUAAAGGGCGUGUAGCCGGGCUGACAAGUCAGAUGUGAAAUCCGGGGGCUCAACCCCCGAACUGCAUUUGAAACUG
Molecule: ribosomal RNA, 305 nt
Filed under: uncultured bacterium
Lineage: Bacteria
Description: bacterial SSU rRNA
Rfam family: Bacterial small subunit ribosomal RNA
Source: RNAcentral